Molecule: ribosomal RNA, 262 nt
Filed under: uncultured bacterium
Lineage: Bacteria
Description: partial 16S ribosomal RNA
Rfam family: Bacterial small subunit ribosomal RNA
Source: RNAcentral
UUCGAGUGGCGGACGGGUGAGUAACGCGUGGGUAACCUGCCUUACACAGGGGGAUAACACCUGGAAACAGGUGCUAAUACCGCAUAAGCGCACAGGGCCGCAUGGCCCGGUGUGAAAAACUCCGGUGGUGUAAGAUGGACCCGCGUCUGAUUAGCUUGUUGGCGGGGUAGGGGCCCACCAAGGCGACGAUCAGUAGCCGGCCUGAGAGGGUGGACGGCCACAUUGGGACUGAGACACGGCCAACUCCUACGGAAGGCAGCAG